This 484-nucleotide ribosomal RNA is filed under the name uncultured bacterium. RNAcentral describes it as "partial 16S ribosomal RNA". It matches the Rfam family "Bacterial small subunit ribosomal RNA", at positions 30 to 507 of the family's 1533-position model. The record is from RNAcentral.
AUUGAACGCUGGCGGCAGGCCUAACACAUGCAAGUCGAGCGGAUGAAGGGAGCUUGCUCCUGGAUUCAGCGGCGGACGGGUGAGUAAUGCCUAGGAAUCUGCCUGGUAGUGGGGGAUAACGUCCGGAAACGGGCGCUAAUACCGCAUACGUCCUGAGGGAGAAAGUGGGGGAUCUUCGGACCUCACGCUAUCAGAUGAGCCUAGGUCGGAUUAGCUAGUUGGUGGGGUAAAGGCCUACCAAGGCGACGAUCCGUAACUGGUCUGAGAGGAUGAUCAGUCACACUUGAACUGAGACACGGUCCAGACUCCUACGGGAUGCAGCAGUGGGGAAUAUUGGACAAUGGGCGAAAGCCUGAUCCAGCCAUGCCGCGUGUGUGAAGAAGGUCUUCGGAUUGUAAAGCACUUUAAGUUGGGAGGAAGGGCAGUAAGUUAAUACCUUGCUGUUUUGACGUUACCAACAGAAUAAGCACCGGCUAACUUCGUG